GCUCAACCUCGGGCGUGCGGUGGGUACGGGCAGGCUAGAGUGUGGUAGGGGAGACUGGAACUCCUGGUGUAGCGGUGAAAUGCGCAGAUAUCAGGAAGAACACCGAUGGCGAAGGCAGGUCUCUGGGCCAUUACUGACAUUGAGAAGCGAAAGCAUGGGUAGCGAACAGGAUUAGAUACCCUGGUAGUCCAUGCCGUAAACGUUGGGCACUAGGUGUGGGGGACAUUCCACGUUUUCCGCGCCGUAGCUAACGCAUUAAGUGCCCCGCCUGGGGAGUACGGCCGCAAGGCUAAAGCUCAAAGGAAUUGACGGGGGCCCGCACAAGCGGCGGAGCAUGCUGAUUAAUUCGAUGCAACGCGAAGAACCUUACCAAGGCUUGACAUGCACUGGACGGCUGCAGAGAUGUGGCUUUCUUUGGACUGGUGCACAGGUGGUGCAUGGUUGUCGUCAGCUCGUGUCGUGAGAUGUUGGGUUAAGUCCCGCAACGAGCGCAACCCUCGUUCUAUGUUGCCAGCACGUGAUGGUGGGGACUCAUAGGAGACCGCCGGGGUCAACUCGGAGGAAGGUGGGGACGACGUCAAAUCAUCAUGCCCCUUAUGUCUUGGGCUUCAAGCAUGCUACAAUGGUCGGUACAAUG
Molecule: ribosomal RNA, 637 nt
Filed under: uncultured bacterium
Lineage: Bacteria
Description: bacterial SSU rRNA
Rfam family: Bacterial small subunit ribosomal RNA
Source: RNAcentral